GACGAACCGAGCGAACGUUGUUCGGAAUCACUGGGCUUAAAGGGCGCGUAGGCGGGCCGUCCAGUCAGUGGUGAAAUCCCCCGGCUCAACCGGGGAAGUGCCUUUGAUACUGACGGCCUCGAGGGGGGUAGGGGCGUGCGGAACUUCCGGUGGAGCGGUGAAAUGCGUAGAUAUCGGAAGGAACACCGGUGGCGAAAGCGGCGCGCUGGACCCCAUCUGACGCUGAGGCGCGAAAGCCAGGGGAGCAAACGGG
RNAcentral lists this ribosomal RNA (253 nucleotides) under uncultured bacterium. RNAcentral describes it as "partial 16S ribosomal RNA". It matches the Rfam family "Bacterial small subunit ribosomal RNA", at positions 524 to 776 of the family's 1533-position model. The record is from RNAcentral.